AUUGAACGCUGGCGGCAUGCCUUACACAUGCCAGUCGAACGGUAACAGGUCUUCGGAUGCUGACGAGUGGCGCACGGGUGAGUAAUACAUCGGAACGUGCCCGAUCGUGGGGGAUAACGAGGCGAAAGCUUUGCUAAUACCGCAUACGAUCUACGGAUGAAAGCGGGGGAUCUUCGGACCUCGCGCGGACGGAGCGGCCGAUGGCAGAUUAGGUAGUUGGUGGGAUAAAAGCUUACCAAGCCGACGAUCUGUAGCUGGUCUGAGAGGAUGAUCAGCCACACUGGGACUGAGACACGGCCCAGACUCCUACGGGAGGCAGCAGUGGGGAAUUUUGGACAAUGGGCGAAAGCCUGAUCCAGCCAUGCCGCGUGCAGGAUGAAGGCCUUCGGGUUGUAAACUGCUUUUGUACGGAACGAAAAGCCUCUUUCUAAUAAAGAGGGGUCAUGACGGUACCGUAAGAAUAAGCACCGGCUAACUACGUG
This 482-nucleotide ribosomal RNA is filed under the name uncultured bacterium. RNAcentral describes it as "partial 16S ribosomal RNA". It matches the Rfam family "Bacterial small subunit ribosomal RNA", at positions 30 to 507 of the family's 1533-position model. The record is from RNAcentral.